This 420-nucleotide ribosomal RNA is filed under the name uncultured bacterium. RNAcentral describes it as "bacterial SSU rRNA". It matches the Rfam family "Bacterial small subunit ribosomal RNA", at positions 506 to 930 of the family's 1533-position model. The record is from RNAcentral.
UGCCAGCAGCCGCGGUAAUACAUAGGGGGCAAGCGUUAUCCGGAAUUAUUGGGCGUAAAGAGUGCGUAGGCGGUUUAUUAAGUCUGGUGUGAAAUUUCACGGCUUAACUGUGAAGGGUCAUUGGAAACUGAUAAACUUGAGUACGGUAGGGGUAAGUGGAAUUCCAAGUGGAGCGGUGGAAUGCGUAGAUAUUUGGAGGAACACCAGUGGCGAAGGCGGCUUACUGGGCCGGAACUGACGCUGAGGCACGAAAGCGUGGGGAGCAAACAGGAUUAGAUACCCUGGUAGUCCACGCCGUAAACGUUGAGUAUUAAGUGUCGGAUGUAAAUUCGGUGCUGCAGUUAACACAAUAAAUACUCCGCCUGGGGAGUACGGUCGCAAGACUGAAACUCAAAGGAAUUGACGGGGGCCCGCACAAGC